CCUACGGGCGGCAGCAGUGAGGAAUAUUGGUCAAUGGACGAGAGUCUGAACCAGCCAAGUAGCGUGAAGGAUGACUGCCCUAUGGGUUGUAAACUUCUUUUAUAAAGGAAUAAAACGAGGCACGUGUGCCUUUUUGCAUGUACUUUAUGAAUAAGGAUCGGCUAACUCCGUGCCAGCAGCCGCGGUAAUACGGAGGAUCCGAGCGUUAUCCGGAUUUAUUGGGUUUAAAGGGAGCGUAGAUGGGUUGUUAAGUCAGUUGUGAAAGUUUGCGGCUCAACCGGAAAAUUGCAAUUGAUACUGGUAGUCUUGAGUACAGUUGAAGUAGGCGGAAUUCGUGGUGUAGCAGUGAAAUGCUUAGAUAUCACGAAGAACCCCGAUUGCGAAGGCAGCUUACUAAACUGUGACUGACAUUGAUGCUCGAAAGUGUGGGUAUCGAACAGGAUUAGAUACCCGAGUAGUC
Molecule: ribosomal RNA, 460 nt
Filed under: uncultured bacterium
Lineage: Bacteria
Description: partial 16S ribosomal RNA
Rfam family: Bacterial small subunit ribosomal RNA
Source: RNAcentral